Molecule: long non-coding RNA, 2553 nt
Organism: Triticum aestivum (bread wheat)
Lineage: Eukaryota; Viridiplantae; Streptophyta; Magnoliopsida; Poales; Poaceae
Exons: 2
Source: RefSeq, a predicted model, not a curated record
GCAAAAUAACAGUACAUUGUGGCCUUGAUUGUCAUCCUGUAUAUAGUUACAUACAAUUAUGCAUCUCUUGUCAGGUGGCUACACAAUAACAUUAGUAUCUGUAAAACUUGUUACAUUCAAGAUACAUAAAAAAAAGGAGACCCAUACGAACUAGCCCCUACGACAAUCUCCACUACUAUUAAACAAUCCAACAAGAACUUUUUUAAGUGCACCCCGCAAUUACCCCCAGCACACCGGACGACUCAUUCACCACCGCACGAUUAGACCCACAAAUCUGAAUCUAACAGCCAUCAUUGAUCUAAUACCUCUACGGUGUGCAUGUAGCAACUUCCGUUGGCUGACCGUGCUUCACCUGCAGGGAAUAUUCCACCUACGCGUGUGAUGUCCCUACAAUCACGCAAAUGUAAUCGCUAACUUCUCCGUGAUUGCAUCUCUUCUAGCCCCUGCCUCCCCGCACCUAUCGCCACCGCCCCUCGCUAAAAUAAAACCCACACGCCCGACGGCCGACGACGCACGACCCUCCUCCCUCGAGCAGCAGCAACGGAGCGGCGAGUAGGGGCUCAACCUAUGUCGACGGGCGGCGUGGUCCCUCUCCUCCAUCGAGUAGCGGCAGCGGCACGGGACGCAGCGGGCUCGGCCUUCGUCGGUGGCGGCAGGGUCCCUUUCCUCCCUCGACCAUCGGCGGCGGCACCGAAUGCAACAGGCGGCCAGGGAGACGGCGCUGCGUGCAAGGCGCGGCAACGAAGCUGAGGGAGCCGGCCCUUGUGGCACGGGGGCGCGACGGUUCCAUGGCGGCUGUGGGGUGGAGGGCGCGUGCGUGAAGGCGGCGCAUUCCUUUGGCUUUCGGCAUGCCGCGGCAUUGACUUCCCUGCUGUCGUCGUGCUCCCUGAUGCCAGCUCCUCCUUCCUCCCGCCGCUGGACAUGCACAACACCAUCCCAUGCCCUCUGUCCGCUGGCCAGAGAAAGGCAUCAGUGAGAAAUAUGGAUGAUGCACGCGAACGGAUUGGCACUCCCAUCUCCACUGCACUGAAGGAGAUCAAGCCCAUUUCCAUCAGCAUCAACUAGAACCUCCCCUCGACCUGCAUCCUUGCCUUUCUUUUGUAUCUCCCCAAGGUAAGUUGGCAUGCUCCAUGUUCGUGCAUAAGGACGGUGAGAUGGAUAUGGGUUUGGUAUUACUGUUGUUGAUGAACUGCUCAUUUGCCAGACUGUCAAACCAGAUGAGCCUGAAAGGAACCAAGAGAAAUGACUAUUCAUUUGGCUUUGGUAUUACUAUUGUUGAUGAACUGCUCAUUUGCCAGACUGUCAAACCAGAUGAGCCUGAAAGGAACUAAGAGAAAUGACUAUUCAUUUACCAAUCUUGCCAUUCUCUGUAUUGUCAAUUUGCCAAUUCGACUGAUGCUUGAAUGUAUUAGUAGACAAAAUGACAUGUUUGUUGAUCAGCUAUGAUAUGUGUUUCCAUUGGCUACUUGCCGCUUUCUAAGGGGCAGAUUUUAGCUUGACAAGAUUUGUGCAAAAACAUAGCAGUGCUCUUGAUCUGAUGGAAACUCAGAGUAGGGUGUUCCAAACUAGAUUGAUACACGUAAGAAUUUUUGACUGAUUUUUAUGCUCAGAGCUACAUACAUGCUCGCAGCGCUUCACCUAUCCUAGAACUUUCAUUUCAAUUUUUGUGUCGCUACAAUUUGUCCAUUAAUCGAUAUUCUAGCUCCAUUAAUUGGUAUUCUAGCUGAAAGUUUCAAAGUUGUCAAUUGUUUUCGAAACUCGGUUCACAGAGUGGCUGGUCCUUUUUUGGGACAUAUUUGUUGUGUCUUUUCCCCAUUUUGUCUUGUAUUUUGUCAUACACAGUUCAAUUAGCUAAUUGUUAUUAUGCCAUAGGUAAAUUGUGCAACCUAUUGCCGCUCUGCCAUGGGUCACAUGGUCGUCCUUCAUACACCGCUUUACUAGGACUAACGCUGAAGUACAGAUGAUGGUGUAUGUAAGUUUUCAUUAUUUCCUCAGUUUUUGUUUUUCCACAGUUUUCUAACUGGGGUCCUCACACAUUUUUUGUGUGUGUACAUUACGGGCCACCUAGAAAAUUUCAAAAGAAGUUGCCUCUUGUUUGGACACCCCGAAGCACGGGCUGGCAAGACUAAGAUUGGGCAAAGAGAGCUUCAGGAGGACCGUUUAUGACACCUCACUCGACGGUUUAUUCUUCAAGCAAGGAUGGAAGAAGUUCCUCACGAGACAUGAAAUGAGAUUAGCACUGCUAUACUAAUUACAUUUAAGACUGUUGCCAACAAUGAGUUGGAGAUUAUAGUCAUCCUUUUAUGUCCUUUGAGAAGAUCAUGUUGGACAAGUUCCAGGCUUUCAUGAGUUAUUUAGUCAUUUCUCAGCGUUUUUUAAACCAUGGAGGAGAACUGCAUGUGAACUUCAUAGAUACGAGAAGAAAAGAAUAAAGGCAUGUAAAAAGUUCAAUUCAUUUUCUGUUUAUUUUGUUUCCUCUUUCUCUAUGUACUGGUUUUUGAACUGUGGUUUGUGAAUCGGAUGUAUAUAUUCAUGUUUUAGUGUGUUUGUUCA